This 71-nucleotide transfer RNA is filed under the name Loxodonta africana (African savanna elephant). It matches the Rfam family "tRNA". Rfam says of the family: Transfer RNA (tRNA) molecules are approximately 80 nucleotides in length. Their secondary structure includes four short double-helical elements and three loops (D, anti-codon, and T loops). Further hydrogen bonds mediate the characteristic L-shaped molecular structure. tRNAs have two regions of fundamental functional importance: the anti-codon, which is responsible for specific mRNA codon recognition, and the 3' end, to which the tRNAs corresponding amino acid is attached (by aminoacyl-tRNA synthetases). tRNAs cope with the degeneracy of the genetic code in two manners: having more than one tRNA (with a specific anti-codon) for a particular amino acid; and 'wobble' base-pairing, i.e. permitting non-standard base-pairing at the 3rd anti-codon position. Lineage: Eukaryota; Metazoa; Chordata; Mammalia; Proboscidea; Elephantidae. The record is from Rfam by way of RNAcentral.
UCAGUGGUGGUUCAGUGGUAGAAUUCUCACCUUCCAUGUGGGAGACCCAGGUUCGAUUCUAUGCCAAUGGA